GACGAACGCUGGCGGCGUGCUUAACACAUGCAAGUCGAACGGUGAAGGGGUCUGCUUUUGUGGGCCCUGGAUGAGUGGCGAACGGGUGAGUAACACGUGAGUAACCUGCCCCCUUCUUCUGGAUAACCGCAUGAAAGUGUGGCUAAUACGGGAUAUUCUGGGUCUGUCGCAUGAUGGGUCUGGGAAAGAUUGCGCCUUUGGGUGUUUUUGGUGGGGGAUGGGCUCGCGGCCUAUCAGCUUGUUGGUGGGGUGAUGGCCUACCAAGGCGGUGACGGGUAGCCGGGCUGAGAGGGUGGACGGUCACACUGGGACUGAGACACGGCCCAGACUCCUACGGGAGGCAGCAGUGGGGAAUAUUGCACAAUGGGCGCAAGCCUGAUGCAGCGACGCCGCGUGAGGGAUGGAGGCCUUCGGGUUGUAAACCUCUUUCGCCAGUGAAGCAGGCCUGCUCCGUGUGGGUGGGUUGACGGUAGCUGGAUAAGAAGCGCCGGCUAACUACGUG
This 502-nucleotide ribosomal RNA is filed under the name uncultured bacterium. Its description in RNAcentral is "partial 16S ribosomal RNA". It matches the Rfam family "Bacterial small subunit ribosomal RNA", at positions 28 to 507 of the family's 1533-position model. The record is from RNAcentral.